CGGCGGACGGGUGAGUAACACGUGGGUAACCUGCCUGUAAGACUGGGAUAACUCCGGGAAACCGGGGCUAAUACCGGAUGGUUGUUUGAACCGCAUGGUUCAAACAUAAAAGGUGGCUUCGGCUACCACUUACAGAUGGACCCGCGGCGCAUUAGCUAGUUGGUGAGGUAACGGCUCACCAAGGCAACGAUGCGUAGCCGACCUGAGAGGGUGAUCGGCCACACUGGGACUGAGACACGGCCCAGACUCCUACGGGAGGCAGCAGUAGGGGAUCUUCCGCAAUGAACGAAAAUCUGACGAAGCAACGGCGCGUGAGUGAUGAAGGGUUUUCGGAUCGUAAAGCUCUGUUGUUAGGGAAGAACAAGUACCGUUCGAAUAGGGCGGUACCUUGACGGUACCUAACCAGAAAGCCACGGCUAACUUCGUGCCAGCAGCCGCGGUAAUACGUAGGUGGCAAGCGUUGUCCGGAAUUAU
RNAcentral lists this ribosomal RNA (474 nucleotides) under Bacillus subtilis. RNAcentral describes it as "bacterial SSU rRNA". It matches the Rfam family "Bacterial small subunit ribosomal RNA", at positions 96 to 554 of the family's 1533-position model. The record is from RNAcentral. Lineage: Bacteria; Bacillati; Bacillota; Bacilli; Caryophanales; Bacillaceae.